GUCUGGUUGUGGUUGGUUCCUGUAGCUCAAUCUGUUUUUGUUCAAUGUAUAGUAUCCUAUUGUUUGGUUUUUCAUCUUUUUCUUUUUGGCCGUGCAUGGUGAUGCAGGUCUUUUUAUAAAUUGUAGUUUUAUGUUGCCCCUAUUGGUAUCUUCUUGAUUUUGUUUUUAACUUAAAUUAAAGUAAAGCAAAAGACCAGAGCAGAAGUUUUGAAGAAGUUUAUCUGAUUAAUGAUGUUUUUAAAAGAC
This 246-nucleotide long non-coding RNA is filed under the name Mytilus galloprovincialis (Mediterranean mussel). Lineage: Eukaryota; Metazoa; Mollusca; Bivalvia; Mytilida; Mytilidae. The record is from RNAcentral.